Molecule: ribosomal RNA, 937 nt
Filed under: Lacticaseibacillus paracasei
Lineage: Bacteria; Bacillati; Bacillota; Bacilli; Lactobacillales; Lactobacillaceae
Description: bacterial SSU rRNA
Rfam family: Bacterial small subunit ribosomal RNA
Source: RNAcentral
UGAUGGAGCACGCCGCGUGAGUGAAGAAGGCUUUCGGGUCGUAAAACUCUGUUGUUGGAGAAGAAUGGUCGGCAGAGUAACUGUUGUCGGCGUGACGGUAUCCAACCAGAAAGCCACGGCUAACUACGUGCCAGCAGCCGCGGUAAUACGUAGGUGGCAAGCGUUAUCCGGAUUUAUUGGGCGUAAAGCGAGCGCAGGCGGUUUUUUAAGUCUGAUGUGAAAGCCCUCGGCUUAACCGAGGAAGCGCAUCGGAAACUGGGAAACUUGAGUGCAGAAGAGGACAGUGGAACUCCAUGUGUAGCGGUGAAAUGCGUAGAUAUAUGGAAGAACACCAGUGGCGAAGGCGGCUGUCUGGUCUGUAACUGACGCUGAGGCUCGAAAGCAUGGGUAGCGAACAGGAUUAGAUACCCUGGUAGUCCAUGCCGUAAACGAUGAAUGCUAGGUGUUGGAGGGUUUCCGCCCUUCAGUGCCGCAGCUAACGCAUUAAGCAUUCCGCCUGGGGAGUACGACCGCAAGGUUGAAACUCAAAGGAAUUGACGGGGGCCCGCACAAGCGGUGGAGCAUGUGGUUUAAUUCGAAGCAACGCGAAGAACCUUACCAGGUCUUGACAUCUUUUGAUCACCUGAGAGAUCAGGUUUCCCCUUCGGGGGCAAAAUGACAGGUGGUGCAUGGUUGUCGUCAGCUCGUGUCGUGAGAUGUUGGGUUAAGUCCCGCAACGAGCGCAACCCUUAUGACUAGUUGCCAGCAUUUAGUUGGGCACUCUAGUAAGACUGCCGGUGACAAACCGGAGGAAGGUGGGGAUGACGUCAAAUCAUCAUGCCCCUUAUGACCUGGGCUACACACGUGCUACAAUGGAUGGUACAACGAGUUGCGAGACCGCGAGGUCAAGCUAAUCUCUUAAAGCCAUUCUCAGUUCGGACUGUAGGCUGCAACUCGC